GGUGUCCUCACCGCCCGCCCCCCGCAACUACAUUGGAGAGGCGCUCCCCUGCCCUCUUCCAGGGAACUUCCUUCUCCAUCAGGGCCAAGUCUGAGACUGAGCUAGCCUUCCAAGAGUAGAGCUGCAGUAUGCUUCAACCUGUGAUCUCCGUUAACAAGGCCACUGGCUUGACUAUUGCAGGAGAGCCUGAUAAGAUGUGACCCCACCUCUUUGCUGUGAGAGCUCCUCUCCACCACUUCGUCCCAGGUGACCUGGGUACAGUGUACACCAAGAGAUCAUGAGACAUGCAUGCCAAGUGGGGGAGCUGAUGUCAAUCCACACAUAAAAGUUUAUAGGACAGGUAAAGACACCUAACCAGAUCCUGCUGUCAUCUACAUUGACAAGCCAUGGAAGGAAAUAGAGUGCCAGCAGCAGACCCAGUUUGCCUGACAUCUGACUGUACAGUGUACUCAUGUCUUAAGGGUGACUGCAUGGAUUAUGUCUAAGCGUGCAUUAGUUUGCUCAGCUGCCAUAACAAAAUACCACAUACUGGGUGGCUUAAACAACAGAAAUUUAUUUUCUCACAGUUCUGGAGGCUAGAAGUAUAGGCUCAAGGUGCCAGCAUGGUCAAGUUCUAGUGAGGGCUGUCUUCCUGGCUUGCCGAUGGCUGCCUUCUGGCUGUGUGUUCACAAGAGGGGGCCAUUUCUGGGGCGGGAUACAAGAGGAAGAGAGACAGUUCUCUCUUCCUUAUCUUAUAAGGCCAUCGUCCUUUCAACUUAGGGCCCCAUGCUUGUGACCUCAUUUAACUUUAUUUCCCUCCUAAAGGCCUUAUCCCAGAAACAGUCACAUCGUGAGUUAGGGCUUUUACAUACUCAUUUUGAUGGGCUACAAUUCAGUCUAUAACAAAGUGUCACUAAGGUACCACAGUCUAAUGGCCAAAGAGAAUGGGACAUGAUUAAACUUUAACAGGCUUCUAAACUUCAAUAGUUUGUUUUCCUGAAGGACCUCCCACAUUUUCCCCUUUCUGAUGACAGUUACAUCUGGUUAUGAAGUUUCCCUCUGGGCCUUAGUACCAAGGAGCUCUGAUCCCCAGCCCCAUCCCAGUAACUAACGUGGUCCUUAUUAGUGGAAUUGUUGCCGUCUACCCUGUUUUCAUUUGUCCCUUUUUGUUAGCCCAACCCCCCGACCCCCAGGUAAAGUAGAACUAAACAAGUAGACAA
This 1199-nucleotide long non-coding RNA is filed under the name Homo sapiens (human). RNAcentral's name for it is "HSALNT0361431". The record is from RNAcentral. Lineage: Eukaryota; Metazoa; Chordata; Mammalia; Primates; Hominidae.